Molecule: ribosomal RNA, 497 nt
Filed under: uncultured bacterium
Lineage: Bacteria
Description: bacterial SSU rRNA
Rfam family: Bacterial small subunit ribosomal RNA
Source: RNAcentral
AACGAACGCUGGCGGCGCGUCUUAAGCAUGCAAGUCGAACGGCAUGAGGAAGCUUGCUUCCUCAGAGAGUGGCGGACUGGUGAGUAACACGUGGGUGACCUACCCUUGAGAUGGGAUAGCCAUUAGAAAUAGUGGAUAAUACCGAAUACGCUCUACGGACUCUGGUUUGUAGAGGAAACAGGCUACGGCCUGGCUCGAGGAUGGGCCCGCGUCCCAUUAGCUAGUUGGUGAGGUAAGAGCCCACCAAGGCGACGAUGGGUAUCCGGCCUGAGAGGGUGUACGGACACAUUGGGACUGAGAUACGGCCCAAAACUCCUACGGGAGGCAGCAGCUAAGAAUAUUCCGCAAUGGACGAAAAGUCUGACGGAGCGACGCCGCGUGGAUGACGAAGGCCGAAAGGUUGUAAAAUCCUUUUGCUGAUGAAGAAUAAGCGUGGUAGGGAAUGACCGCGUGAUGACAUUAGUCGGUGAAUAAGCCCCGGCUAACUACGUGCCAGC